UUUGUUUCGGCAGAAUCCUAGUGGCGAACGGGUGAGUAACGCGUAGGCAACCUGCCCUCCGGCCGGGGACAACACUCCGAAAGGGGUGCUAAUACCGGAUACGAAGUCUGUGCCGCAUGGUACGGAUUUGAAAGAUGGCCUCUAUUUAUAAGCUAUCGCCGGGGGAUGGGCCUGCGUCCGAUUAGCUGGUUGGUGGGGUAACGGCCUACCAAGGCGACGAUCGGUAGCCGGUCUGAGAGGAUGGACGGCCACAUUGGGACUGAGACACGGCCCAGACUCCUACGGGAGGCAGCAGUGGGGAAUCUUCCGCAAUGGGCGCAAGCCUGACGGAGCAACGCCGCGUGAGUGAGGAAGUUCUUCGGAACGUAAAGCUCUGUUGUUCCUGACGAACCUCCCUUCUAUCAACAACGGAAGGGACUGACGGUAGGGAACGAGGAAGCCACGGCUAACUACGUGCCAGCAGCCGCGGUAAUACGUAGGUGGCAAGCGUUGUCCGGAAUUAUUGGGCGUAAAGCGCAUGUAGGCGGUAAUUUAAGUCUGUCGUGAAACUGCGGGGCUCAGCCCCGUAUGGCGAUGGAAACUGGGUUACUUGAGUGCAGGAGAGGAAAGGGGAACUCCCAGUGUAGCGGUGAAAUGCGUAGAUAUUGGGAAGAACACCGGUGGCGA
RNAcentral lists this ribosomal RNA (666 nucleotides) under uncultured rumen bacterium. Its description in RNAcentral is "bacterial SSU rRNA". It matches the Rfam family "Bacterial small subunit ribosomal RNA", at positions 74 to 718 of the family's 1533-position model. The record is from RNAcentral.